Molecule: long non-coding RNA, 560 nt
Filed under: Nicotiana benthamiana
Lineage: Eukaryota; Viridiplantae; Streptophyta; Magnoliopsida; Solanales; Solanaceae
Description: long non-coding RNA (NBEN_LNC014295)
Source: RNAcentral
CUAAACAUAGAAAAUAAUAUGUUCAUUCACCACCACAAUCAAAGUAAAACUAACGGGUUCCAGUUGAAAAUGCAACAACAACAACAGUAGAGAUUUCAUGUUUAACUCAAUCUAAACCAGUUCCAGUUGAAAAUGCAACAACAUCAAUAGUAGAGAUUUCAUGUUUAAUGCAAUUUAAACCAAAACUCAAUAUCUUAUUUUGUAUCACCAAUUAAAGGAGUAAUAAGAGAAUGAAGAGAUGGACCUUAAUGGCAAAAGUUUGGUUCAGAUUAGAGGAACUUCGGGCUUACAGUUUUGUCCAAAUGAAAAGCGGCAUCAUUCAACAACAAAAAUCGAUUAUCAACCGAAAAAAUCAGCAGAAAUGCGAAUCGAAAGUCGGACAGAAUUCAUCGGCACCAUGACUCUCGAAUGGAGACUUCGACUCGAAUCGGCGAGCAAACAAGGACUCGACCAAAUCGCCGGAUACUCGAAGCCGACUCAAGAAACUCACCAAGCUCCGAUGGCUUUACAUGGCUGAAACAGAGCUUGAACGUUUGGACUGGUUAUCGGCUGGAGUUCGG